CAAGUCGAGCGCACCCUUCGGGGCGAGCGGCGGACGGGUUAGUAACGCGUGGGAACAUACCCUUUACUACGGAAUAGCCUCGGGAAACUGAGAGUAAUACCGUAUGUGCCCUUCUGGGGAAAGAUUUAUCGGUAAAGGAUUGGCCCGCGUUAGAUUAGAUAGUUGGUGGGGUAAUGGCCUACCAAGUCUACGAUCUAUAGCUGGUUUUAGAGGAUGAUCAGCAACACUGGGACUGAGACACGGCCCAG
Molecule: ribosomal RNA, 248 nt
Filed under: uncultured bacterium
Lineage: Bacteria
Description: partial 16S ribosomal RNA
Rfam family: Bacterial small subunit ribosomal RNA
Source: RNAcentral